UAAACACCCAGCAGGAAAGUAUAACCAAAA
This 30-nucleotide non-coding RNA is filed under the name Mus musculus (house mouse). Lineage: Eukaryota; Metazoa; Chordata; Mammalia; Rodentia; Muridae. RNAcentral also lists the same sequence under 1 other name. The record is from RNAcentral.